This 253-nucleotide ribosomal RNA is filed under the name uncultured bacterium. Its description in RNAcentral is "partial 16S ribosomal RNA". It matches the Rfam family "Bacterial small subunit ribosomal RNA", at positions 524 to 776 of the family's 1533-position model. The record is from RNAcentral.
UACGUAGGGGGCAAGCGUUGUCCGGAAUCAUUGGGCGUAAAGAGCGUGUAGGCGGCCUGGUAAGUCCGCUGUGAAAGUCCAGGGCUCAACCCUGGAAUGCCGGUGGAAACUGUCAGGCUCGAGUCCGGAAGAGGCGAGUGGAAUUCCUGGUGUAGCGGUGAAAUGCGCAGAUAUCAGGAGGAACACCAAUGGCGAAGGCAGCUCGCUGGGACGGUACUGACGCUGAGACGCGAAAGCGUGGGGAGCAAAUAGG